CUAGCGAGAGUGCUGCCAAGGUAGAUAAACGAGUCAACCACAUCUUCGGCAAGAUAUAUAGAAUCUAUAUUUCGGUGAAGAGUAUUCGAUGAAAGAAAAAAACACAUUCGGUUUUGCCCUGCUUCUGUGCAGAGUAAUACAUUUUCAAAGGUUGUAAUUGUGUCUGCGGAUAAGUGAAGCUAAUUUCGCGUUUGUUCUAUAUUUACGAAGCAUGAUAGCAUUAGAAAAGAUCAAAUAAAUGAUUUGAAGAAUAUCUAUUUAUUGUAGUGCCUUUGUGCAUCUUUGGUCACGUGCAUCCAGUAAAAUUGGCGAAGGAAGAGUUUUACCUGUCAGAAGUAGAACACGAAUACG
This is a long non-coding RNA of Octopus bimaculoides (California two-spot octopus), 351 nucleotides long. RefSeq lists it as uncharacterized. NCBI's taxonomy places the organism in Eukaryota, Metazoa, Mollusca, Cephalopoda, Octopoda, Octopodidae. The record is from RefSeq and is a predicted model, not a curated record.